RNAcentral lists this ribosomal RNA (361 nucleotides) under uncultured bacterium. RNAcentral's name for it is "bacterial SSU rRNA". It matches the Rfam family "Bacterial small subunit ribosomal RNA", at positions 330 to 709 of the family's 1533-position model. The record is from RNAcentral.
UCCAGACUCCUACGGGAGGCAGCAGUGGGGAAUAUUGCACAAUGGGGGAAACCCUGAUGCAGCAACGCCGCGUGAGUGAAGAAGUCAUUCGUGAUGUAAAGCUCUAUCAGCAGGGAAGAAAAUGACGGUACCUGAGUAAGAAGCCCCGGCUAACUACGUGCCAGCAGCCGCGGUAAUACGUAGGGGGCAAGCGUUAUCCGGAUUUAUUGGGUUUAAAGGGUGCGUAGGCGGCAUUAUAAGUGAGUGGUAAAAUAUUGGGGCUACACCUCACUACGCCAUUAAUACUGUAGAGCUAGAGAACAGACGAGGUAGGCGGAAGAAGUUAAGUAGCGGUGAAAUGCAUAGAUAUAACUUAGAACAC